AUCCGGCUGACGAGUCCCAAAUAAAACGAAACGCGCGUCCUGGAU
Schistosoma curassoni is the source of this 45-nucleotide non-coding RNA. The record is from Rfam. NCBI's taxonomy places the organism in Eukaryota, Metazoa, Platyhelminthes, Trematoda, Strigeidida, Schistosomatidae.